AGCGGUGGAGCAUGUGGCUUAAUUCGACGCAACGCGAAGAACCUUACCAAGGCUUGACAUACACCGGAAACGUCUGGAGACAGGCGCCCCCUUGUGGUCGGUGUACAGGUGGUGCAUGGCUGUCGUCAGCUCGUGUCGUGAGAUGUUGGGUUAAGUCCCGCAACGAGCGCAACCCUUGUCCCGUGUUGCCAGCAGGCCCUUGUGGUGCUGGGGACUCACGGGAGACCGCCGGGGUCAACUCGGAGGAAGGUGGGGACGACGUCAAGUCAUCAUGGCCUUUAUGUCCAGGGCUACACACGUGCUACAAUGGCCGGUACAAACCGCUGCAAGAGCGCAAGCUGGAGCAAAUCGGAUAAAGCCGGUCUCAGUUCGGAUUGGGGUCUGCAACUCGACCCCAUGAAGCUGGAAUCGCUAGUAAUCGCGGAUCAGCACGCCGCGGUGAAUACGUUCCCGGGC
Molecule: ribosomal RNA, 456 nt
Filed under: uncultured bacterium
Lineage: Bacteria
Description: bacterial SSU rRNA
Rfam family: Bacterial small subunit ribosomal RNA
Source: RNAcentral